AUACAGAGGGUGCGAGCGUUAAUCGGAAUUACUAGGCGUAAAGCGCGCGUAGGCGGCUUGGCAAGUCGGGUGUGAAAUCCCCGGGCUCAACCUGGGAACUGCAUUCGAGACUGCUUUGCUAGAGUAUGGGAGAGGGAAGUGGAAUUUCCGGUGUAGCGGUGAAAUGCGUAGAUAUCGGAAGGAACAUCAGUGGCGAAAGCGACUUCCUGGACCAAUACUGACGCUCAUGUGCGAAAGCGUGGGGAGCAAACAGGAUUAGAUACCCUGGUAGUCCACGCCAUAAACGAUCAGAACUGGAUGUCGGGAGGGUCUGCCUCUCGGUGUCGUAGCUAACGCGUUAAGUUCUGCGCCUGGGGAGUACGGCCGCAAGGUUGAA
Molecule: ribosomal RNA, 376 nt
Filed under: uncultured bacterium
Lineage: Bacteria
Description: bacterial SSU rRNA
Rfam family: Bacterial small subunit ribosomal RNA
Source: RNAcentral